This 673-nucleotide ribosomal RNA is filed under the name Monoctonus crepidis. RNAcentral describes it as "partial 28S ribosomal RNA". The record is from RNAcentral. Lineage: Eukaryota; Metazoa; Arthropoda; Insecta; Hymenoptera; Braconidae.
CCCAAAAGAUCGAAUGGAAAGAUUCAUCGUCAAUAUGUUUAAUAUUUAUAAAUAUUAUGAUGUGAAUUUUUUUUUUAGCUUUAUUGUUGAUUGAAAAAUUUAUACAUAUAUUUAUUAAUUUAUUGUUUUACAUUGUCGGCGUGCACUUCUUUCCUAGUAGGACAUCGCGACCCGUUGGGUAUUGAUCUACGGCCAAAUUGGGUAGCCUUUAAUGUGUUAAAACAUUAAAGACCAAUUUGUGUUUUCCUGAUCAAUUGCCCGGCGGUAUUCGUAUGGUAUUGAGUCGCAUUUAUUAUAAUUUGCGUCCUCCACCCAUCACAAGCGAGGCCAGUUGGUAUUAAUAUAUUUAUAUAUUAAUAUCUUACUUAGUAGUGCGGACCUAGUGCCGUCAUUAAGUCUGGCCAGCUGUUGGUAUUUGUAUGGUGUUCUGGGACUGACUUAAAAUAUAAUAAUACCGGUCGGCGAUGCUACUGCUUUGGGUACUUUCAGGACCCGUCUUGAAACACGGACCAAGGAGUCUAACAUGUACGCAAGUCAUUGGGAUUUUUUUAAUUAAAAAAAUUAAACCUAAAGGCGUAAUGAAAGUAAAGAUCAUCUUUAUGAUGAUUUAGGGAGGAUGUUUUAUAUUACGAUAUAAAACCGCACUCCCGGGGCGUCUUAUUCUUAUUUUAUA